Molecule: non-coding RNA, 112 nt
Organism: Acanthosepion pharaonis
Lineage: Eukaryota; Metazoa; Mollusca; Cephalopoda; Sepiida; Sepiidae
Source: the annotation of a GenBank genome assembly
AUGGCCACAUCGCGUUUUAACACCAGUUCUCGUACGAUCAUCGAAGUUAAGCAACGUCGAGCCAGGUCAGUACCUAGAUGGAUGACCGCUUGGGAAUACUAGGUACUGUAAG